AAUCAUCAGUUCGAAAAUUUUUAAGAAAAAUGAGCAAGACUGAACGGGGCGGAAAAUAGACGAAAAGAAAAAACAUGUGUUUGAGAUUUUUAUAAGCCGUGUGCAAGUGGCUGGUUGUGAAGAGCCUUCCUCUAUCUUCUAUACGCUAUUCGAGAAACAUACACACA
Non-coding RNA from Caenorhabditis elegans, 167 nucleotides. NCBI's taxonomy places the organism in Eukaryota, Metazoa, Nematoda, Chromadorea, Rhabditida, Rhabditidae. The record is from Ensembl.